This is a long non-coding RNA of Juglans regia (Persian walnut), 875 nucleotides long. RefSeq lists it as uncharacterized. NCBI's taxonomy places the organism in Eukaryota, Viridiplantae, Streptophyta, Magnoliopsida, Fagales, Juglandaceae. The transcript is spliced from 3 exons. The record is from RefSeq and is a predicted model, not a curated record.
UCCAAAAUCUCUCCUUUCCGCACCUCCAAAAUUCAAAACUAGCGCUUCGAAAAUUUCAUUCUCCAAGGUUCAAAGAACAUUUCGAUUCCCUUUCUGAUGGAGGCCGCGAAGACGACGAGGGGAGCGGGAGGUAGAAGAGGUGGAGACAGGAAGAAGUCGGUCUCAAAGUCUAUCAAGGUUGAGCUUCACUUUCAAUUCCUCAUGGGUUGGAGUACUCGGUAUUUGAAGAAGGGUCGCUACGCUUAGAGGACAGGCUCUAGUGCUCCGAUCUACCUCGCCGCAAUUCUUGAAUAUCUCGCUGCUGAGAUUGUGCAAGCCUUCCAUCAUUUCAUACAUGUGUUGGCACUAAUGAGGAAAGGCUAACCCCAAAGUGGUAUAAGGAACAUGGGAUUGAAUUGGUUCUUGGAACUCAAGUCAAGUCAGCUGAUGUAAGGCGCAAGACUUUAUUGGCAACAGCUGGGGAGACUAUUAGUUACAAGAUGUCAUUUGAAGUUCUUUGUUUUCAAGUCAAGUCAAGUCAGCUGUCAUUUUAAGUUCUCUGUUUUUAUUCUUCACCAGUGAGUUCCUCUUUUUUUUUUCCAGUAUGUAGAGUUCAGACUUAGCCCUUUUGGGCUUGAAGUUUUAUUUUUAUCCUCUGAAAUCUAUCUUUCAAAAAGGUUUUCUAGGUGCUCCGGGAAGAUAUGAGUUGUAGAGGUAUAAAUGGAUUUAAAAUAAUCUAUGAAAGUAGAUUCGAUGAUAUCUUGAUCCAUUGUCCAAUUACUUGGGCUUAGCUUGAUUGAGUCGAUCUCAUUUCUUCUUCGGCGAAUAGUUGUUGACAGAUGAUAAAACUUUGUAUUUAGGUCAGUUGUAGUGAGCCAGUUGAUUCUUGAUUUUAG